CCCUCCUCCCCAUGCCUCCCUCCUAGAGCAGGCCUGCUCCUCCCAGCUACUCUCCUCCACCUUCUGCACCACCCCUCACUGAGUUAGCUAGGGACACAGUGGUGAACGAGGCUGGCAGGAAGGGCUGCCUGCAAGGAAGUGAGGUUUCCAUGGAGCAGACAGGCAAUGAGAUGAAGAAGAGAACCUCCAUGGCACUAAACAGCAGGAGGGAGGCUUAAAGACAAUGAAAAUAAACUCCAUGGGCUGGGCGUAGUGGCACACAGUGGAUGCUGAAGUCCUAGCAUCUAGGAGGCUGAGCAGGAGGAUUGCCACAAGUUCAAGGCCAGCCUGGGAUACAUAGCGAGAUUCUGUCUCAAAAAAGAAAAGACACUCCACGGAGGCAGAGACUUUCAUCUGUUUUGUUCAUUGCCGGUUCUCCAGUGGCACUGCUGCCCUGUGCUGGUCAUGGAACCCAAGACUUUGCACAUGGGACUCAUCCAGCCCUACUCUCCACCAAAGCCAAAGUCAGCAUCAUGCAGCAGAGACUGAACUAUUGUACUGCUGCUGUCAGUGUAUUUAGAGAGAACUGAUGACCUUCUGACACUGAGUUUUCCUAUCUGUUUUCAUAGCAUGUCUAUUAACUUAGAACUUUCUUAGUUUUUUUAAAUAAAGUUGAAA
Long non-coding RNA from Cavia porcellus (domestic guinea pig), 657 nucleotides. RefSeq lists it as uncharacterized. The transcript is spliced from 4 exons. The record is from RefSeq and is a predicted model, not a curated record. Lineage: Eukaryota; Metazoa; Chordata; Mammalia; Rodentia; Caviidae.